RNAcentral lists this unclassified non-coding RNA (332 nucleotides) under fungal sp. RNAcentral describes it as "partial internal transcribed spacer region". The stretch from base 1 to 46 matches the Rfam family "Eukaryotic small subunit ribosomal RNA", at positions 1786 to 1831 of the family's 1831-position model. The record is from RNAcentral. Lineage: Eukaryota; Fungi.
AAGUCGUAACAAGGUUUCCGUAGGUGAACCUGCGGAAGGAUCAUUAUUACGUUAUCCAAACGUCAAACCCAAUUGUGAAACUGUUAAUCGGAAGGUUAAGAGAUUUGAGGACAAGUGCGUUCAUGACCCCAGUAGUGGGUGCUUGUCUUAUCUGAUUUAGUUCAGAUCUGCUCUUUAACUUCUGUUCAAAAUGAAAUUCCCGUCAUGAACAAUUUUUAACUUUUUAAACCCCAUGUACAAAAAUUGAACUAAAAACUCUGUCAAAGCCUUGUGCUUUGAUCGAAUAACCGAAAUUAAGAAAACAACUCUUAACAACGGAUAUCUUGGUUCUC